UCAAGAAACUUCCACAAUGGGCGAAAGCCUGAUGGGGCGACGUCGCGUGAUGGACGAAGUGCUUCGGCACGUAAACAUCUUUUAUGUGGGAUGAAAUUAUUGACAGUACCACAUGAAUAAGGGGCUCCUAACUCUGUGCCAGCAGGAGCGGUAAUACAGAGGCCCCAAGCGUUAUCCGGAAUCACUGGGCGUAAAGGGUGUCGAGGCGGUUGUAUUAGUCGUUCGUAAAAUCUACGAGCUUAACUUGUAGGCGGCGAACGAAACGGUACGACUUGAGGUUUGGAGAGGUGCGUGGAACUCACGGUGUAGGGGUGAAAUCCGUUGAUAUCGUGGGGAACACCAAAGGCGAAGGCAGCGCACUGGCCAAAAUCUGACGCUCACACACGAAAGCUAGGGUAGCGAAGAGGAUUAGAUACCCAUGUAGUCCCUGAGCGGGCUGGCAAGGCGCAU
Molecule: ribosomal RNA, 450 nt
Filed under: uncultured bacterium
Lineage: Bacteria
Description: bacterial SSU rRNA
Rfam family: Bacterial small subunit ribosomal RNA
Source: RNAcentral